This 2898-nucleotide ribosomal RNA is filed under the name Escherichia coli. RNAcentral describes it as "23S ribosomal RNA". It matches the Rfam family "Bacterial large subunit ribosomal RNA". Lineage: Bacteria; Pseudomonadati; Pseudomonadota; Gammaproteobacteria; Enterobacterales; Enterobacteriaceae. The record is from RNAcentral.
UUAAGCGACUAAGCGUACACGGUGGAUGCCCUGGCAGUCAGAGGCGAUGAAGGACGUGCUAAUCUGCGAUAAGCGUCGGUGAGGUGAUAUGAACCGUUAUAACCGGCGAUUUCCGAAUGGGGAAACCCAGUGUGUUUCGACACACUAUCAUUAACUGAAUCCAUAGGUUAAUGAGGCGAACCGGGGGAACUGAAACAUCUAAGUACCCCGAGGAAAAGAAAUCAACCGAGAUUCCCCCAGUAGCGGCGAGCGAACGGGGAGGAGCCCAGAGCCUGAAUCAGUGUGUGUGUUAGUGGAAGCGUCUGGAAAGGCGCGCGAUACAGGGUGACAGCCCCGUACACAAAAAUGCACAUAUUGUGAGCUCGAUGAGUAGGGCGGGACACGUGGUAUCCUGUCUGAAUAUGGGGGGACCAUCCUCCAAGGCUAAAUACUCCUGACUGACCGAUAGUGAACCAGUACCGUGAGGGAAAGGCGAAAAGAACCCCGGCGAGGGAGUGAAAAAGAACCUGAAACCGUGUACGUACAAGCAGUGGGAGCCUCUUAAUGGGGUGACUGCGUACCUUUUGUAUAAUGGGUCAGCGACUUAUAUUCUGUAGCAAGGUUAACCGAAUAGGGGAGCCGAAGGGAAACCGAGUCUUAACUGGGCGUUAAGUUGCAGGGUAUAGACCCGAAACCCGGUGAUCUAGCCAUGGGCAGGUUGAAGGUUGGGUAACACUAACUGGAGGACCGAACCGACUAAUGUUGAAAAAUUAGCGGAUGACUUGUGGCUGGGGGUGAAAGGCCAAUCAAACCGGGAGAUAGCUGGUUCUCCCGAAAGCUAUUUAGGUAGCGCCUCGUGAAUUCAUCUCCGGGGUAGAGCACUGUUUCGGCAAGGGGUCAUCCCGACUUACCAACCCGAUGCAAACUGCGAAUACCGGAGAAUGUUAUCACGGGAGACACACGGCGGGUGCUAACGUCCGUCGUGAAGAGGGAAACAACCCAGACCGCCAGCUAAGGUCCCAAAGUCAUGGUUAAGUGGGAAACGAUGUGGGAAGGCCCAGACAGCCAGGAUGUUGGCUUAGAAGCAGCCAUCAUUUAAAGAAAGCGUAAUAGCUCACUGGUCGAGUCGGCCUGCGCGGAAGAUGUAACGGGGCUAAACCAUGCACCGAAGCUGCGGCAGCGACGCUUAUGCGUUGUUGGGUAGGGGAGCGUUCUGUAAGCCUGUGAAGGUGUGCUGUGAGGCAUGCUGGAGGUAUCAGAAGUGCGAAUGCUGACAUAAGUAACGAUAAAGCGGGUGAAAAGCCCGCUCGCCGGAAGACCAAGGGUUCCUGUCCAACGUUAAUCGGGGCAGGGUGAGUCGACCCCUAAGGCGAGGCCGAAAGGCGUAGUCGAUGGGAAACAGGUUAAUAUUCCUGUACUUGGUGUUACUGCGAAGGGGGGACGGAGAAGGCUAUGUUGGCCGGGCGACGGUUGUCCCGGUUUAAGCGUGUAGGCUGGUUUUCCAGGCAAAUCCGGAAAACCAAGGCUGAGGCGUGAUGACGAGGCACUACGGUGCUGAAGCAACAAAUGCCCUGCUUCCAGGAAAAGCCUCUAAGCAUCAGGUAACAUCAAAUCGUACCCCAAACCGACACAGGUGGUCAGGUAGAGAAUACCAAGGCGCUUGAGAGAACUCGGGUGAAGGAACUAGGCAAAAUGGUGCCGUAACUUCGGGAGAAGGCACGCUGAUAUGUAGGUGAAGCGACUUGCUCGUGGAGCUGAAAUCAGUCGAAGAUACCAGCUGGCUGCAACUGUUUAUUAAAAACACAGCACUGUGCAAACACGAAAGUGGACGUAUACGGUGUGACGCCUGCCCGGUGCCGGAAGGUUAAUUGAUGGGGUUAGCGGUAACGCGAAGCUCUUGAUCGAAGCCCCGGUAAACGGCGGCCGUAACUAUAACGGUCCUAAGGUAGCGAAAUUCCUUGUCGGGUAAGUUCCGACCUGCACGAAUGGCGUAAUGAUGGCCAGGCUGUCUCCACCCGAGACUCAGUGAAAUUGAACUCGCUGUGAAGAUGCAGUGUACCCGCGGCAAGACGGAAAGACCCCGUGAACCUUUACUAUAGCUUGACACUGAACAUUGAGCCUUGAUGUGUAGGAUAGGUGGGAGGCUUUGAAGUGUGGACGCCAGUCUGCAUGGAGCCGACCUUGAAAUACCACCCUUUAAUGUUUGAUGUUCUAACGUUGGCCCGUAAUCCGGGUUGCGGACAGUGUCUGGUGGGUAGUUUGACUGGGGCGGUCUCCUCCUAAAGAGUAACGGAGGAGCACGAAGGUUGGCUAAUCCUGGUCGGACAUCAGGAGGUUAGUGCAAUGGCAUAAGCCAGCUUGACUGCGAGCGUGACGGCGCGAGCAGGUGCGAAAGCAGGUCAUAGUGAUCCGGUGGUUCUGAAUGGAAGGGCCAUCGCUCAACGGAUAAAAGGUACUCCGGGGAUAACAGGCUGAUACCGCCCAAGAGUUCAUAUCGACGGCGGUGUUUGGCACCUCGAUGUCGGCUCAUCACAUCCUGGGGCUGAAGUAGGUCCCAAGGGUAUGGCUGUUCGCCAUUUAAAGUGGUACGCGAGCUGGGUUUAGAACGUCGUGAGACAGUUCGGUCCCUAUCUGCCGUGGGCGCUGGAGAACUGAGGGGGGCUGCUCCUAGUACGAGAGGACCGGAGUGGACGCAUCACUGGUGUUCGGGUUGUCAUGCCAAUGGCACUGCCCGGUAGCUAAAUGCGGAAGAGAUAAGUGCUGAAAGCAUCUAAGCACGAAACUUGCCCCGAGAUGAGUUCUCCCUGAGACUUAGAGUCUCCUGAAGGAACGUUGAAGACGACGACGUUGAUAGGCCGGGUGUGUAAGCGCAGCGAUGCGUUGAGCUAACCGGUACUAAUGAACCGUGAGGCUUAACCU